AUGAAGGAAGAGCUGGCUCUGAGCAGGAAAACCUCAACAUGGGUGGAGGACCAGCCAGCUGAACCAGCGAUUUAGAAAGCCCUGGAAAGACACCAGUGCUGAGGGAGACGUCGAGCAGCCUUUGGUGCUACCCUGCAGGAAGCUGCUGGACCUGUCAGUGCUACCCAUGGCUGGAUGCCGUGGAGUUCGUGGCAGAUGACCCCAGGAUGAAGAAUAAGCCAUAACCGUUGGGAUUUUGGGUUGGAAGGCUGUACAGCUGCUGGAUCUGCCUGCACCAGCGUCAGGAGGUUUGUGCUGGCACGACAAGAGGUGAGCAGCCAUGGAGACCAGAUCACCCCUCCCAGCAGCUCUGCAGGCACCCACCACCCUGCGCCGGUGGGAACAGCCCUGGGAAGCAGCUGCAUUCUGCUGAAUGGGAAGGCGUGUCUUUCAGAGAGAAUUAGUAAUAAAUCAAGGACUGAGACUCAGAGGGAGAAGGGACGAUGAGGCUGAUACUCAGACCUGAACUCAGCAGCUGUACCAUGGAGCAAAGCACAGAGCCCCAGGAGAUACAUACGCAGCGGAGGAGAGCGACCUCGUCCUGGGCAGCCUCAGCAAAGCCUUCCCUGCUUUUCAGGACCUUCACAGCUACAUGUUUCUUCCUCCUGGGAAAUGAAUCACAGCUGCCAGCCAACACAUGCCGGCGUGGCCCCAACCAGCAGCACCUCCCCUUCUCCCAGCCACCCAGCGCUGGAGCUCCCCUGGGAGGGUGCUGCCCUCCUGCAAACAGCCUUAGUCUGCAGCACCCCAGGCCUGUGGGCGACGCUGCCAGCGACUGGCAGCACAGCUGCCCCCGGGGACCUGCAAGGGGCUGGAGAGAAGAUGUUCAGCACAUGUGGACUGCAGGAUCUAAAUGAGAAGAACAAAUGCAGAGCAAGGACCGAUCCCACCUCAUUUAUGUUCUCUGGUUUCCGGAGACCAGCUCUGCUUGUUGCACCCCACUGAAAUCGCUGCCAGGUUUCCCUGUGCUUGCAAGGAUGCUGAUGUGCUCCCAGGCUUCUGUGAGAGGGGCUGGGCCUGCCCAAGAGAUCAGCCACCCUUUCCCAGCACCCCAGAAGGCUGUUAGCACCUCACC
Athene cunicularia (burrowing owl) is the source of this 1114-nucleotide long non-coding RNA. RefSeq lists it as uncharacterized. Lineage: Eukaryota; Metazoa; Chordata; Aves; Strigiformes; Strigidae. The record is from RefSeq and is a predicted model, not a curated record. The transcript has 3 exons.